GGAGAUUCACACGACUGAUUCUUAGUAUCUGAUAGCCUAAUGACAUGAACACCUAAGAACAUAAUUAAUUAAGGGGAUGUUUGGAUACGAGAUGGUAAACUUUAGAAGGGUCACAUCGGAUGUUCGGAUGCUAAUUAGAAGGACUAAACAUGAGCUAAUUACAAAACUAAUUGCACAGAUGGAGUGUAAUUCGCGAGAUGAAUCUAUUAAGGCUAAUUAAUCCAUCAUUAGCUAACGGUUACUGUAGCACCACAUUAUCAAAUCAUGGACUAAUUAGGCUUAAUAGAUUCAUCUCGUGAAUUAGACUCCAUCUGUGUAAUUAGUUUUGUAAUUAGACUAUGUUUAAUACUUCUAAUUAGUAUCCAACAUCCGAUGUGACAGGUACUAAAGUUUAGCUGAGGGUAUCCAAACAACCUCUAAGACUUAAUCUCACUUACAUGAGUGUUAGAAGUAUCCAACAUCCGAUGUGAUAGGUACUAAAGUUUAGCUGAGGGUAUCCAAA
RNAcentral lists this long non-coding RNA (502 nucleotides) under Setaria viridis. Its description in RNAcentral is "long non-coding RNA (SVIR_LNC006078)". The record is from RNAcentral. Lineage: Eukaryota; Viridiplantae; Streptophyta; Magnoliopsida; Poales; Poaceae.